Molecule: ribosomal RNA, 494 nt
Filed under: uncultured bacterium
Lineage: Bacteria
Description: partial 16S ribosomal RNA
Rfam family: Bacterial small subunit ribosomal RNA
Source: RNAcentral
GACGAACGCUGGCGGCGCGCUUAACACAUGCAAGUCGAACGGAAAGGCCUGCUUUCCCUUGUGGAUUGCGGGUACUCGAGUGGCGAACGGGUGAGUAACACGUGAGUGAUCUGCCCCCAACUUGGGUAUAAGCCUGGGAAACUGGGUCUAAUUCCCGAUAGGACUGCAGGGUGGUGCCUGUGGUGGAAAACGAUUUUCUAGUGGUUGGGGAUGAGCUCGCGGCCUAUCAGCUUGUUGGUGGGGUAAUGGCCUACCAAGGCGGCGACGGGUAGCCGGCCUGGGAGGGUGGACGGGCACAUUGGGACUGAGAUACGGCCCAGACUCCUACGGGAGGCAGCAGUGGGGAAUAGUGCACAAUGGGCGGAAGCCUGAUGCAGCGACGCCGCGUGGGGGAUGACGGCCUUCGGGUUGUAAACUCCUUUCGACCGCGAGGAAGCCACCUGGUUGGAAGGGUGGUGACGGUAGUGGUAGAAGAAGCACCGGCUAACUACGUG